CAACUCGUAACGGUGGAUGUCUAGGCUCCCACAUCGAUGAAGAACGCAGCAAACUGCGAAACGUAAUGCGAAUUGCAGAACUC
This 83-nucleotide ribosomal RNA is filed under the name Rhodymenia novahollandica. Its description in RNAcentral is "partial 5.8S ribosomal RNA". It matches the Rfam family "5.8S ribosomal RNA", at positions 1 to 82 of the family's 154-position model. From Rfam's summary of the family: 5.8S ribosomal RNA (5.8S rRNA) is a component of the large subunit of the eukaryotic ribosome. It is transcribed by RNA polymerase I as part of the 45S precursor that also contains 18S and 28S rRNA. RNAcentral also lists the same sequence under 1 other name. Lineage: Eukaryota; Rhodophyta; Florideophyceae; Rhodymeniales; Rhodymeniaceae. The record is from RNAcentral.